AAUACAAUCAUUACUUGGCCGAGUUCAUACAGUUUGUGUCUAAGCCUUUCCGAAGUAUCUCUCAGAUAUAUUCAACAUCAUGGCUUUCCUUGAAGUGAAGAUCCUUUUGUCUUGUGUUUUUCUGAUAUACACUAACGUGGAAGCGGCUCCAUCACCAAAGGACCCGUAUCGGCCUCUGGGUCACAUCGAGGCCAGCCCGUUGCAAGUAGUUUCCUAUGAAGAUGGGCAAGGUUGUUCUGAUCUUUUCUUGUUGCUUCAACGACUUUCUCACUUUUACUAAUAGUCAACUCGAAAAUUUCCUUACAGAGAUUACAGAC
Long non-coding RNA from Pocillopora damicornis (cauliflower coral), 317 nucleotides. The record is from RefSeq and is a predicted model, not a curated record. NCBI's taxonomy places the organism in Eukaryota, Metazoa, Cnidaria, Anthozoa, Scleractinia, Pocilloporidae.